AACAACUGCCUUAAAAAAUAACUAAGCACCAAGAAACAUGCUGUUUUCUUUAUUAUUUAAUGGCUAAUUAUUUCAAUCUGCAAUUCUUGGGAAAAAAAAAGUUGAAAUUUACUUGUCAAGUGGAUAGAAAACAGGUCUGGAAUUCUGGAAUACUGUCUUACCCCAGGCUCUGCAGAGAAUUGAACCGUAUGUUAUGAAGAUGAGAUAAUACACUGGAAAAUCCCAUUAGAAGGAGACCACAGAAACUGAAGGUGCUAUUAAAAGAGAAAGUCCAUCUAUUUACUCAAUAGCAAAGAAUGCCAA
Long non-coding RNA from Phascolarctos cinereus (koala), 303 nucleotides. RefSeq lists it as uncharacterized. NCBI's taxonomy places the organism in Eukaryota, Metazoa, Chordata, Mammalia, Diprotodontia, Phascolarctidae. The record is from RefSeq and is a predicted model, not a curated record.